MicroRNA precursor from Equus caballus (horse), 103 nucleotides. Lineage: Eukaryota; Metazoa; Chordata; Mammalia; Perissodactyla; Equidae. The record is from Ensembl.
GACAGUGGGGACUUUAUUGAGAGGAGCUGGGGUGGAAGUGGGGGGUGACAGGAUGGAAAUUUUGCAUCGCUGUGCUUGGUCCCAGGACUUACCUCAGAGGAGG